Vitis riparia (riverbank grape) is the source of this 510-nucleotide long non-coding RNA. RefSeq lists it as uncharacterized. The transcript has 2 exons. Lineage: Eukaryota; Viridiplantae; Streptophyta; Magnoliopsida; Vitales; Vitaceae. The record is from RefSeq and is a predicted model, not a curated record.
AGGCAUUCAAGCCCAGGUUGUGGGGAGUGGGAGAGAUGCUAUAGAUCUCUUAGCCUCUGGGGUGAACUUUGAUCUCAUUAUCAUAGCUAUGGUGCUCCCGAUCAUGAACGGGGUUGAGACCACUAGGCAAAUUCGAGCAAUGGGCAUUCGUAGCAAAAUGUUGGGCGUUACUGCUUGCUCAUAUGAAAGGGAGAGACGAGCGUUUUUGGAUGCUGGUGUGGAUGAGUUUAUUGAGAAGCCGCUUACUCCUCAAAAGUUGGCAUCUGUUUUGAGAGAGAUCAGAAAUGCUUGAAAGAAAGGUGGACCCAAUAGAAGACCCGAUUAAGUUCUGCUAAGUCAUGUCUUGCUGUCUAUUUUUCUCUCUCUUCUAUUUUUUUCUCCCUGAAGUUGAUGUACUAUUGUCACUAGACAAACAAAGAAUAUUUAUAGUGACAAUUGUAAUAAUAAUAAUAUUAGAAAAUUGGGUCCUCUAACUUUAAUGAGAAAGUGUUAGUGGUUAGUUUGUUUGAA